UAAAUAAACUCAUUUUAUACAGAGAGAUAUUAUAGAGUCCUUGUCUAGGUCAAAUACCUAGUCAAGGCUUAUCCAAAUAUGGCAAGUUAAGGGGCGCCCAACUCUUGAGCACCUCCUCCAUAUUUUUGUGCAUGGAUCACCAGAAAAGGGUGCACAAUGUGUACCCUAAAAGUUAUGAAAAUUCUAAAAAAAAUUUGGAUAAAUUCGGUGCAAAAUUGAAAGAGUUUUGGAUUUCUAAAAUUCUAUCUCAUAGAAUUCGAAAUCCAAACUUAUUCCAUUUUGAUUUGAUCCAAACCACCUUCCAUGUA
This 308-nucleotide long non-coding RNA is filed under the name Elaeis guineensis (African oil palm). RNAcentral describes it as "long non-coding RNA (EGUI_LNC060773)". Lineage: Eukaryota; Viridiplantae; Streptophyta; Magnoliopsida; Arecales; Arecaceae. The record is from RNAcentral.